UAACUUACCCAUCAGAGGGGGAUAACAACUUGGAAACAAGGGCUAAUACCGCAUAACAGUUUAUGCCGCAUGGCAUAAGAGUGAAAGGCGCUUUCGGGUGUCGCUGAUGGAUGGACCCGCGGUGCAUUAGCUAGUUGGUGAGGUAACGGCUCACCAAGGCCACGAUGCAUAGCCGACCUGAGAGGGUGAUCGGCCACACUGGGACUGAGACACGGCCCAG
RNAcentral lists this ribosomal RNA (220 nucleotides) under uncultured bacterium. Its description in RNAcentral is "partial 16S ribosomal RNA". It matches the Rfam family "Bacterial small subunit ribosomal RNA", at positions 122 to 334 of the family's 1533-position model. The record is from RNAcentral.